This 420-nucleotide ribosomal RNA is filed under the name uncultured bacterium. RNAcentral's name for it is "bacterial SSU rRNA". It matches the Rfam family "Bacterial small subunit ribosomal RNA", at positions 356 to 792 of the family's 1533-position model. The record is from RNAcentral.
GGGGAAUUUUCCGCAAUGGGCGAAAGCCUGACGGAGCAAUACCGCGUGAAGGAUGACGGCCUAUGGGUUGUAAACUUCUUUUCUCAGAGAAGAAUUUUGACGGUAUCUGAGGAAUAAGCAUCGGCUAACUCUGUGCCAGCAGCCGCGGUAAGACAGAGGACACAAGCGUUAUCCGGAAUGAUUGGGCGUAAAGCGUCUGUAGGUUGUGUGACAAGUUUUCUGUCAAAGACCAGGGCUUAACCUUGGGUCGGCAGGAAAAACUAUCAUGCUAGAGUUCGGUAGAGGCAGAGGGAAUUUCCAGUGAAGCGGUGAAAUGCGUAGAUAUUGGAAGGAACACCAAAGGCGAAAGCACUCUGCUGGGCCGAUACUGACACUGAGAGACGAAGGCGAGGGGAGCAAAAGGGAUUAGAUACCCCUGUA